CCCGUAUGUAAACAACCGAUACUGGCGAUAUCAUUCAGCUACCAACAUGAUCAAAAGAAAUGUUUCUACCAGUUACUCUUGAGUCACCUCCAAGCAUUCCCUUAUCCCAAAUUGAUAUUAAAAGAGAAUGUUGAUGAGCCUGAUCCGUCGAUUCAAAUACCAUAACACAGCCAACCCCAAAAAAACAACAGCAAACAAGUGAGCAAGCUGACAAAGCUGCAACUUCAGGGAGCAAUUAUAAGGGUCAUCAAGAUGGAGCCAGGAUUCAUGAUGCUCGUAUUAGAGGUGCUGGACCAGAGUCUGAGGAAGGGAGUAGAACUCCAAGCUGGUUUGAGUGUGCUUCAACUGCCGGGACAUUUCAAUGCAGAGUUAAAAAGUUUGUUGUCGCCGGGAGGCCAGUCUUUCUCAAACUGCUGACUCUGACCUCCUUGUUUUGAAUGAAGAAGUUCUAACCCUUGCCCAUUUGAUGAGGCAGGAUUUCUUGUGUUCAUUGAUGAGGAGGACCAGGCGCAACCCAACCGCUACUAGGCGACUUAUAUUAUGUUCUGACACAGAGUUAUUUUUGGGCUGGUGACAAGAGGGCUAUUCCCUUAUGUUGUGUGGAGAGUCCAGGAAACCUUCCCGAUUCCCUAAGAACAAUACACUGGCCUUGUGCAAAGUGUUCUCUUGAUUUUCUUAAAUAUUAAAAUAUGAUCUAAACAAUAUCAGGUCAUUUUUGUAUACUUUUGUGAAUGACUUGUUAUUUUAUAAAUACUGAUUUGUACUGUC
Mya arenaria is the source of this 768-nucleotide long non-coding RNA. RefSeq lists it as uncharacterized. The transcript has 4 exons. NCBI's taxonomy places the organism in Eukaryota, Metazoa, Mollusca, Bivalvia, Myida, Myidae. The record is from RefSeq and is a predicted model, not a curated record.